AUUUCGGACUGUGGCACUCUAUUUUUUUUUUAAAUGGCACAGUUAAUUAUUUGUUAUAAACCAGUAAAAUUAAAAGUGUACAGUUAUACGAUUCCUGGUGAAUUGAGAAAGUUUGGGCACCGUUGGUGCAAGGUCGUAGAAGGCGAAACCCAGAGAACAGAAGUUUUUCCACUUUAACAUGAAUAUAGUUUGUGCACUUAGAUGUUAGGACAGGUCGGGCCCAAAGGGGAGUUAGAACUAGGUUCAGUCCUCACACCCUUAACGUCUUUUUCUGUCUUCAGUCUCAGGGGUGUUGAAAGCCAGGCGUGGAAGCCUUUAAGCUUUCAGGACGCAGGCUGUCGAGUGUGGUGUGUCCAGGUGCAAAGUUCCGUGUGUUUUAGCAUGCUGGCAGCAAGAAAGAGGACUUUGUAUAAAAUAAGAAAUGUGCACAAGCUGCUUCUGUAUUUGUUUAAACCCAAUUGCACAUAUUCUUUGUCAGUCUCUGAGUCCGUCUGGAGGGAGAGGGCUUUGGAUUCCUGAUCUGAACAAAGUUGGUUUCUAUCAGCCUCCUUUAUCAAGAAGGGACAGACCUAGGAAAUGCAAGGGAAAUGCUAGCCAUUGUGCAAAACUGCCAACUACCCUAAACCAGGGGUGAGAGCUUAGGAAGAAAGUGCAUGAUCCUCAGUCUUGGAGCAAAUGAGGAAUAAAGCGAAGAAUGGACCAUGGGAAUGUAGCCUCAGAAUAGUGCCCCUUAGGAUGAGACUAACAAAGGCAUUUCAACUCAGCUAGUGGAGCAGGAACCAUGAGGCAGGGCCAAAAACAGGGAGAAAGAAUCAGAGGAAGAGCUCUUGGACUCUGCUCCUGUUUUCACUAGCUUCAGUGUGGCUUUGUUUCUGAGGCUGGCAGAUCAGUGGAUUCAACACCUCAUUCUAGCAAGCUUGGUUCUGAAGUUUCAUAGAACUUGGGCACAUCGCAGAGACCCUGUUAUUGGGUGAUAUUGCUGACUAAACCACACGUGAGUUGAUGAUGUCUUUCAUCCCAAAAGAAUGUGUUCUAGUAAGGAGGGGUUGACCCAAACUCAAAUACUGCAAAGGGGGGACAGCAGGGAAAGCUGGGGUGUGAGCUGCGGAUGGAAUCUCCAGGGCUGGAGUUCAAAGUAGAAAUGUCUCCUAGUGUGGCAGGAACCAGAAAGAAGGGACUGAAGCACUCCACAUUUCUUGUUUGUUUCCAUGCCUCCCUUGCCAACCCCCUUGCCUUGUUCCCUUAGUGGUUUAACCCUUGGGAAACUGUAAGCUCUGAUCAAAGUACACAGCUUGGCAGGAUAUGAGAGUGUGGUGUUUGCAUUCUCUCUUGGUGUGUGGGGGGAUAAACUUUGAGGAGGGCAAUUUAGGAGGGAAGGUGGAGGCUCCCCUAGAUACACAUUCUGGCACAGUAAUCUCCCCUCCAGAAGCUUAUCUUGGGGAAAUAAUUGGACGUGGACACAAGAUGUGUGUGCAGUUUUAUUGUCACAGCAAGUUAAUCAGGGAAAGGAAGGGAAGAAGGAAAAUAAAGAACCCAAAUAACUAGCAAUAGAGAAAGGAUCACAUGCGGUAAUCCAAAUGAUGAACCAUUAGGCACUGAAAAGAAAAUGUAGAUAUAUGGUUUUGGACAUGAAGCCAUGUCCAAGAUACAGUGUUUGGUGAAAAAAGGCAGAGUACUGAUUUUCGUAUUAGGAAAAAGCAGAGAUGUAUACACUAAAAUGUCAACUGUAUUAAUCUGUGUGAUGAGAUUUAGAUGAGUUAAAAUUUUUCUUUUGUGCUUUGUUGUUAUUGUUGUUGUUUUUUAAAUAAUCUUGUAUUACUUUUGAAAUUUCAAAAUGUGUUUUGAAAAAUAAAAGAGCAGUUUCAUUA
This 1868-nucleotide long non-coding RNA is filed under the name Marmota monax (woodchuck). Lineage: Eukaryota; Metazoa; Chordata; Mammalia; Rodentia; Sciuridae. The record is from RNAcentral.